CCUACGGGCGACAGCAGUGGGGAAUAUUGGGCAAUGGAGGAAACUCUGACCCAGCAAUGCCGCGUGAAUGAAGAAGGUCUUCGGAUUGUAAAGUUCUUUAGUCAGGGAAGAAGUCAAUGACGGUACCUGACCAAGAAGCCCCGGCUAACUACGUGCCAGCAGCCGCGGUAAUACGUAGGGGGCAAGCGUUAUCCGGAUUUACUGGGUGUAAAGGGGGCGCAGACGGCAAUGCAAGCCAGGAGUGAAAGCCCGGGGCCCAACCCCGGGACUGCUCUUGGAACUGCAUGGCUGGAGUACAGGAGGGGCAGGCGGAAUUCCUAGUGUAGCGGUGAAAUGCGUAGAUAUUAGGAGGAACACCGGUGGCGAAGGCGGCCUGCUGGACUGUGACUGACGUUGAGGCCCGAAGGCGUGGGGAGCAAACAGGAUUAGAUACCCCAGUAGUC
This 443-nucleotide ribosomal RNA is filed under the name uncultured bacterium. RNAcentral's name for it is "partial 16S ribosomal RNA". It matches the Rfam family "Bacterial small subunit ribosomal RNA", at positions 338 to 795 of the family's 1533-position model. The record is from RNAcentral.